Myotis davidii is the source of this 75-nucleotide non-coding RNA. The record is from Rfam. Lineage: Eukaryota; Metazoa; Chordata; Mammalia; Chiroptera; Vespertilionidae.
AUGGGGGGAGGGUGGGUCCCUCAGCCCGGAUAGCAAGAGGGUGCAGGCCAGGCCAAGGGACCUCACUGGUGCACA